RNAcentral lists this ribosomal RNA (373 nucleotides) under uncultured organism. Its description in RNAcentral is "partial 16S ribosomal RNA". It matches the Rfam family "Bacterial small subunit ribosomal RNA", at positions 527 to 896 of the family's 1533-position model. The record is from RNAcentral.
GUAGGUGGCAAGCGUUAUCCGGAAUUAUUGGGCGUAAAGCGCGCGCAGGCGGUUUCUUAAGUCUGAUGUGAAAGCCCACGGCUCAACCGUGGAGGGUCAUUGGGAACUGGGGAACUUGAGUGCAGAAGAGAAAAGCGGAAUUCCACGUGUAGCGGUGAAAUGCGUAGAGAUGUGGAGGAACACCAGUGGCGAAGGCGGCUUUUUUGGUCUGUAACUGACGCUGAGGCGCGGAAGCGUGGGGAGCAAACAGGGAUUAGAUACCCUGGUAGUCCACGCCGUAAACGAUGAGUGCUAAGUGUUAGAGGGUUUCCGCCCUUUAGUGCUGCAGCUAACGCAUUAAGCACUCCGCCUGGGGAGUACGGUCGCAAGACUG